This 2050-nucleotide ribosomal RNA is filed under the name human gut metagenome. Its description in RNAcentral is "bacterial LSU rRNA". It matches the Rfam family "Bacterial large subunit ribosomal RNA", at positions 1 to 1978 of the family's 2925-position model. The record is from RNAcentral.
UAAAGCUACAAAGAGCUAAUGGGGAAUGCCUUGGUACUGACAGCCGACGAAGGACGUGUAAAGCUGCGAUAAGCCACGGGGAACUGCUAAAAGGUCUUGAUCCGUGGAAAUCCGAAUGGGGAAACCCUCCAGAGUUAAAACUUUGGAACCCGUAACUGAAUACAUAGGUUGCGCGGAGGAAAGCCUGUGAACUGAAACAUCUUAGUAACAGGACGAAGAGAAAAUAAACCAAUGAUUCCGAGAGUAGCGGCGAGCGAAAUUGGAAGAGCCUAAAUUGUGUGUACGUGAUAGCCUGCAAGCGUUGUGCACAUGAGGUUGUGGGACUUGCAUCAUAUUUUGCAGAAUAUGGAUUGAGUUAGAAAAUUAUUUAUUAGUUAAAGUCAACUGGGAAGUUGCGCCAUAGAGAGUGAUAGCCUCGUAAACGACAAUAAAUAAUCUCAAGUAAGUAUCCCGAGUAAGGCGGGGCACGUGAAACCCUGUCUGAAUCCACCGGGACCAUCCGGUAAGGCUAAAUACUAGUCAGUGACCGAUAGUGAACGAGUACAGUGAUGGAAAGGCGAAAAGAACAGUGAGAAGCUGAGUGAAAUAGACCCUGAAACCGUUAGCUUACAACCAGUCAGAGCACAAUUAAUUGUGUGAUGGCGUGCCUGUUGAAGAAUGAGCCGGCGAGUUAUUUUUUGUUGCGAGGUUAAGGAGAUCAUAUCCGGAGCCACAGGGAAACCGAGUCUGAAUAGGGCGUUAAGUAACAGGAAAUAGACCCGAACCUUGGUGAUCUAACCUUGACCAGGAUGAAGCGUGGGUAACACUACGUGGAGGUCCGAACCAACCGAUGUUGAAAAAUCGGUGGAUGAGUUGAGGUUAGGGGUGAAAUGCCAAUCGAACCAAGAGCUAGCUGGUUCUCCCCGAAAUGCGUUUAGGCACAGCGUUGGAUUUAUCUUGCAGGAGGUAGAGCACUGGUUUUGUGCGGGCGUCGAAAUGAUGUACCAAACAAUGUCAAACUCCGAAUACCUGUAAUGUCAUUAUCCAGCAGUGAGGCUAUGAGUGAUAAGAUCCAUGGCCAAGAGGGAAACAGCCCAGACCGCCAGUUAAGGUCCCUAAUAUAUGCUAAGUGGUUAAGGAGGUAGAGUUACUGAGACAACCAGGAGGUUGGCUUAGAAGCAGCCAUCCCUUGAAAGAGUGCGUAAUAGCUCACUGGUCAAGUGACUCCGCGCCGAAAAUACACCGGGACUAAAGCAUAUAACCGAAGCUGCGUCAUAUAGUUUACUAUAUGGGUAGGGGAGCGUACUGUAGUAAGACGAAGCUAGAGUGAAAACACUAGUGGAUGAGGCAGUAGUGAGAAUGUCGGCAUAAGUAGCGAAAACAUUGGUGAGAAUCCAAUGCACCGAAAACCUAAGGUUUCCCACGGCAGGCUCGUCCGCGUGGGGUUAGUCGGAUCCUAAGCUCAGGCCAAACGGCGUAGGCGAUGGACAAUAGGUUGAUAUUCCUAUACUAUCUGAUAAUCGUUAUCAGAAGCGGAGGGACGCAAGAGGAUAAGCACGCAGUCGAAUGGAAGAGACUGUAUAAGCGUGUAGCUAGGUUUGACAGGAAAAUCCGUCAAAUCGUUAAUGUGAGGCGUGAUGUGGAGAGUCUACGGACUUGAAGGUGUUGACUCCAAAUUGCCGAGAAAAUCUUCGCUCUCGAGAUUAUUGGGUAUCCGUACCGUAAACCGCCACAGGUAGGUUGGUAGAAAAUACUAAGGUGCGCGAGACAACUCUCGCUAAGGAACUCGGCAAAAUCACCUCGUAACUUCGGGAGAAGAGGUACCCUGGUAGCGUGAAGCGAUUUACUCGUGAAGCGUGAUAGGGUCGCAGUGAAUAGGCCCAAGCGACUGUUUACCAAAAACACAGGUCUCUGCUAAGUCGAUCAAGACGAUGUAUAGGGGCUGACGCCUGCCCGGUGUCGGAAGGUUACGCGGAAAUGUUAGAAGCAAUUCAAAGCAUCGAAGCUAAGCCCCGAUGAACGGCGGCCGUAACUAUAACGGUCCUAAGGUAGCGAAAUUCCUUGUCAGGUA